GGGGAAUUUUGGACAAUGGGCGCAAGCCUGAUCCAGCAAUGCCGCGUGCAGGAAGAAGGCCUUCGGGUUGUAAACUGCUUUUGUACGGAGCGAAAAGGCUUCCUCUAAUACAGGGAGCUCAUGACGGUACCGUAAGAAUAAGCACCGGCUAACUACGUGCCAGCAGCCGCGGUAAUACGUAGGGUGCGAGCGUUAAUCGGAAUUACUGGGCGUAAAGCGUGCGCAGGCGGUUUUGUAAGACAGGCGUGAAAUCCCCGGGCUCAACCUGGGAAUGGCGCUUGUGACUGCAAAGCUGGAGUGCGGCAGAGGGGGAUGGAAUUCCGCGUGUAGCAGUGAAAUGCGUAGAUAUGCGGAGGAACACCGAUGGCGAAGGCAAUCCCCUGGGCCUGCACUGACGCUCAUGCACGAAAGCGUGGGGAGCAAAC
Molecule: ribosomal RNA, 425 nt
Filed under: uncultured bacterium
Lineage: Bacteria
Description: bacterial SSU rRNA
Rfam family: Bacterial small subunit ribosomal RNA
Source: RNAcentral